RNAcentral lists this ribosomal RNA (253 nucleotides) under uncultured bacterium. RNAcentral describes it as "partial 16S ribosomal RNA". It matches the Rfam family "Bacterial small subunit ribosomal RNA", at positions 524 to 776 of the family's 1533-position model. The record is from RNAcentral.
UACAGAGGUCCCAAGCGUUGUUCGGAUUUACUGGGCGUAAAGGGUGCGUAGGCGGUCGGGUAAGUCUGAUGUGAAAUCUCAGAGCUCAACUCUGAAACUGCAUUGGAUACUACUCGGCUUGAGGUCUGGAGGGGGGACUGGAAUUCUCGGUGUAGCGGUGAAAUGCGUAGAUAUCGAGAGGAACACCUGCGGCGAAGGCGGGUUGCUGGGCCGACACUGACGCUGAUGCGCGAAAGCCAGGGGAGCGAACGGG